Molecule: ribosomal RNA, 468 nt
Filed under: uncultured bacterium
Lineage: Bacteria
Description: partial 16S ribosomal RNA
Rfam family: Bacterial small subunit ribosomal RNA
Source: RNAcentral
GAUGAACGCUGGCGGCGUGCUUAACACAUGCAAGUCGAACGGAAAGGCCCUGCUCUUGUGGGGUGCUCGAGUGGCGAACGGGUGAGUAACACGCGAGUAACCUGCCCUUGACUUUGGGAUAACUUCAGGAAACUGGGGCUAAUAUCGGAUAGGAGCUCCUGCUGCAUGGUGGGGGUUGGAAAGUUUCGGCGGUUGGGGAUGGUCUCGCGGCUUACCAGCUUGUUGGGGGGGUAGUGGCUUACCAAGGCUUCGACGGGUAGCCGGCCUGGGAGGGUGGCCGGCCACCUUGGGACUGAGGUACGGCCCAGUCUGGUACGGGAGGCAGCGGUGGGAAAUAUUGCGCAGUGGGCGGGAGCCUGAUACAGAGGCGCCGCGUGCGGAAUGACGGCCUUCGGGUUAUAAACCGCUUUCGCCUGUGACGAAGCGUGAGUGACGGUAAUGGGUAAAGAAGCACCGGCUAACUACGUG